UGUCAAUUUUAAUUAAACAUGGUGGCAAAUGGAAUUCAUCAGCCUCAAGAAUUUCAAAGAUGCUUAUGCCAUUCCUGUCGAGCGUACAUGGGAUAUACGAAGUUAUAUUUCAUAUCCUAAAUUAAUGCCGCCUGGUCCAAAAAGAGCAGUAGAAAGACCCAAACUUGAACGGCGGAAGGGGUUCGCAGAUGUGAAAUUCAAGAAGACAAAAAGAACAUGCAGUAGAUGCCAUCAGGUUGGACACAAUAGGAAGACUUGUUCAAAUUAUCCUGUACAAAAACAAUGAUGUCGUAAUGUUAAAUCUGUGUUUUUGAGGCAUUACAUUGUUAUAAAAUGUUUUUUAUUGAAUAA
Molecule: long non-coding RNA, 351 nt
Organism: Solanum lycopersicum (tomato)
Lineage: Eukaryota; Viridiplantae; Streptophyta; Magnoliopsida; Solanales; Solanaceae
Source: RefSeq, a predicted model, not a curated record